Molecule: ribosomal RNA, 309 nt
Filed under: uncultured eukaryote
Lineage: Eukaryota
Description: partial 18S ribosomal RNA
Rfam family: Eukaryotic small subunit ribosomal RNA
Source: RNAcentral
CCCUUAGAUGUUCUGGGCGGCCCGCGCACUACAAUGGCGUGUGCAGCGAGUGCCGAAGUAGAGUUUUCCGAGGUAUUCUUGCAAUGCUCGUUUUGAUGGGGAUAGACCCUUGCAACUGUUGGUUUUGAACGAGGAAUUCCUUGUAAGCAUGGUUUAUCAUCCGACGCUGAAUGCGUCCCUGCACUUUGUACACACCGCCCGUCGCUCCUACCGAUGAGUCGUCCGGUGAAGUUCGUAGACCUCGUGAUCGCGGAUCACUGGGGGAAGCAAAAUGAACCUCGCGGUUUAGAGGAAGGAGAAGUCGUAACA